GGAUCAUGCAAUAUUUUCUUUCUGUCUCUGGCCCAUUUCACUUAGGAUAAUGUACUUCAGGUCCAUCAAUGUUGUAAAUUUAAUGAUAUCAAGUGGUGCUUUUUUUUUUUUUUUUUUUUUGAGACAGAGUCUCACUCUGUUGCCCAGCCUGGAGUGUAGUGGCAUGAUCUCGGCUCACUGCGACUUCCGCCUCCCAGGUUCAAGUGAUUCUCGUGCCUCAGCUUCCCCAGUAGCUAGGAUUACAGAUUGAUGAAUGGCAUAUGCUGUGAUCUACAAAAUAGUACAUCUGAUAGCACUGCACAAUAGAAUCGAUCAUGCAGAGUCUAGGAAUAAGCCAGACCAAUGCAAAGUUAACCUCAUGAUUCUCACAUCUUAAAAUAUUAUCUGGAAAGAUUACCACAGUGAUUUGUCUUGAAUGAAUUCCAUCCUUAUUCUAUCCCUCCAGAGUGCUAACUGAAUUUAAAGCUUCUUUUUUCACUUAUUAUUUGUGGUCAUUUCUAUGUUUGAACAUUUGCGUGUAUGUCCAGGAAUGUAUUUUGUAUCAUCCAUCAAGUAAAAAUAGUGAUUCAUUUAUAAAGUACUUAAGUCAGAAUCUAUCCCAGUAUUAGAGGCAGAAUCUAGUCAGCAGUUUCAUCUUUGAUGGAUUGUGUUGUCAGAGCUUUCAAUGAAUUGGCAAUUUCUACUUGUAAGCUGUCUUCUAGAAAAGAUGAAAGUAUUCACAAGACCUUAAGCAAGUAUCUAAUCAUCCAGUUAUCUUGUAUUUACAGCAGUAAGUUUAAUUAUAAUAAAG
Molecule: long non-coding RNA, 790 nt
Filed under: Homo sapiens (human)
Lineage: Eukaryota; Metazoa; Chordata; Mammalia; Primates; Hominidae
Description: HSALNT0210552
Source: RNAcentral